CAUCUACUCCCUCCGUCCAAAAAAACUUGUUGAAGAAAUGGACAAAAAUGGAUGUCUCUACAACUAAAAUACAUCUAGAUACAUCCAUUCCUCCGACAAGUAUUUCCGGACGGAGGGAGUAGAAA
This is a non-coding RNA of Triticum aestivum (bread wheat), 125 nucleotides long. Lineage: Eukaryota; Viridiplantae; Streptophyta; Magnoliopsida; Poales; Poaceae. The record is from Rfam.